Molecule: small nucleolar RNA, 64 nt
Organism: Tachyglossus aculeatus (Australian echidna)
Lineage: Eukaryota; Metazoa; Chordata; Mammalia; Monotremata; Tachyglossidae
Product: small nucleolar RNA Z39
Exons: 1
Source: RefSeq, a predicted model, not a curated record
GUACAGGUGAUGUGACAAUUUCAGUAUGAGUAUAACUAUGAUACUGUAAACGCUUUCUGAUGUA